Molecule: ribosomal RNA, 184 nt
Filed under: bacterium DR1
Lineage: Bacteria
Description: partial 16S ribosomal RNA
Rfam family: Bacterial small subunit ribosomal RNA
Source: RNAcentral
CGCAAGCCUGAUGCAGCGACGCCGCGUGAGGGAUGACGGCCUUCGGGUUGUAAACCUCUUUCAGUAGGGAAGAAGCGUAAGUGACGGUACCUGCAGAAGAAGCGCCGGCUAACUACGUGCCAGCAGCCGCGGUAAUACGUAGGGCGCAAGCGUUAUCCGGAAUUAUUGGGCGUAAAGAGCUCGU